Molecule: ribosomal RNA, 726 nt
Filed under: uncultured Propionibacterium sp.
Lineage: Bacteria; Bacillati; Actinomycetota; Actinomycetes; Propionibacteriales; Propionibacteriaceae
Description: bacterial SSU rRNA
Rfam family: Bacterial small subunit ribosomal RNA
Source: RNAcentral
GACUUUGGGAUAACUUCAGGAAACUGGGGCUAAUACCGGAUAGGAGCUCCUGCUGCAUGGUGGGGGUUGGAAAGUUUCGGCGGUUGGGGAUGGACUCGCGGCUUAUCAGCUUGUUGGUGGGGUAGUGGCUUACCAAGGCUUUGACGGGUAGCCGGCCUGAGAGGGUGACCGGCCACAUUGGGACUGAGAUACGGCCCAGACUCCUACGGGAGGCAGCAGUGGGGAAUAUUGCACAAUGGGCGGAAGCCUGAUGCAGCAACGCCGCGUGCGGGAUGACGGCCUUCGGGUUGUAAACCGCUUUCGCCUGUGACGAAGCGUGAGUGACGGUAAUGGGUAAAGAAGCACCGGCUAACUACGUGCCAGCAGCCGCGGUGAUACGUAGGGUGCGAGCGUUGUCCGGAUUUAUUGGGCGUAAAGGGCUCGUAGGUGGUUGAUCGCGUCGGAAGUGUAAUCUUGGGGCUUAACCCUGAGCGUGCUUUCGAUACGGGUUGACUUGAGGAAGGUAGGGGAGAAUGGAAUUCCUGGUGGAGCGGUGGAAUGCGCAGAUAUCAGGAGGAACACCAGUGGCGAAGGCGGUUCUCUGGGCCUUUCCUGACGCUGAGGAGCGAAAGCGUGGGGAGCGAACAGGCUUAGAUACCCUGGUAGUCCACGCUGUAAACGGUGGGUACUAGGUGUGGGGUCCAUUCCACGGGUUCCGUGCCGUAGCUAACGCUUUAAGUACCCCGC